Molecule: ribosomal RNA, 429 nt
Filed under: Chloroflexota bacterium
Lineage: Bacteria; Bacillati; Chloroflexota
Description: Chloroflexi bacterium partial 16S ribosomal RNA
Rfam family: Bacterial small subunit ribosomal RNA
Source: RNAcentral
UGGGGAAUAUUGCACAAUGGGCGCAAGCCUGAUGCAGCCAUGCCGCUUGUAUGAAGAAGGCCUUCGGGUUGUAAAGUACUUUCAGUCGGGAGGAAGGUGUCAAGGUUAAUAACCUUGGCAAUUGACGUUACCGACAGAAGAAGCACCGGCUAACUCCGUGCCAGCAGCCGCGGUAAUACGGAGGGUGCAAGCGUUAAUCGGAAUUACUGGGCGUAAAGCGCACGCAGGGGGUUUGUUAAGUCAGAAGUGAAAUCCCCGGGCUCAACCUGGGAACUGCAUCUGAUACUGGAAAGCUUGAGUCUCGUAGAGGGGGGUAGAAUUCCAGGUGUAGCGGUGAAAUGCGUAGAGAUCUGGAGGAAUAACGGUGGCGAAGGCGGCCCCCUGGACGAAGAAUGACGAUCAGGUGCGAAAGCGUGGGGAGCAAACAGG